RNAcentral lists this long non-coding RNA (370 nucleotides) under Brassica napus (rape). RNAcentral's name for it is "long non-coding RNA (BNAP_LNC006060)". The record is from RNAcentral. Lineage: Eukaryota; Viridiplantae; Streptophyta; Magnoliopsida; Brassicales; Brassicaceae.
UAUAUUAAUUAGAGGAUAAAGUUGAUUUAAGGUCCAAAUGUACUAUUGGUAAGACAUACCUUUGCAAUGUUAUCAGAUGGCCCAUUUUAAAGUAUGAGAAUGAAGCUAAAAUGACAAAAACCGAAAAUAGAAACUAGAGGUACAAUGUCGGAGAGAGUCCCAUAGAGCUCUAUCGUUCUUUGAUUCUAAUUGGUUGUUUUGAUAAGCACUUGAAAGUUUGAUCUAAGCCAUAAUAGUCUAAAAUAAAGGUUGUGAAUUGUUAUACAUAUAAUGAUAUAAAUUAAUAGUUUAUUCCAAUGAAAUAAAAAAAAACAUCAAAGUGGAUAAUAAAAUAGUCAUAAUAUUGUAAUAUUAAUUGACGAAAUUACUA